Molecule: long non-coding RNA, 867 nt
Organism: Asparagus officinalis (garden asparagus)
Lineage: Eukaryota; Viridiplantae; Streptophyta; Magnoliopsida; Asparagales; Asparagaceae
Exons: 3
Source: RefSeq, a predicted model, not a curated record
CCAAAGCUUACUUAAUUGUCUAUAAUUCCAACUGAUGCAAAUUCUUCUACAUUGUUAUUAAUCUUAAUAGCUUUCGCUUUUCUUAAUUUGCCAAAGCUUACUUAUUGUCUAUAAUUCCAACUGAUGCAAAUUCUUCUACAUUGUUAUUAAUCUUAAUAGCUUUCGCUUUUCUUAAUUUGCCAAAGCUUACUUAUUAUCUAUAAUUCCAACUGAUGCAAAUUCUUCUACCAUUGAUCAGUAAUUGUUCUUCAAUCUUAUUUGCAAAUUUUUACUUAACUUUAGCAACUCAACUUUGUUAAUUUGUUAUUUGAUAUCUCAGAAUAUGUUUGAUUACAAGAUGUUCCUCCAGUGGGAUGUAUAAACUCCAUGAGAAUCUGUGGAUAAUUCAAAUAUUGAGACAGAAGGUCCUUUUUUUACAGGAAGAAGUUAGACUAUGUCCAUCUUGACAAAUUUUGAAUGUCAUGAUGAGGUGUAAGGCGGUAACAUUUGUUUCAAGCGAGCCUCUGCCUCCUGAGUUCUCAUAUGUUCUUGAAUUUAGGGAAGUAAAGUAUAAUCUAUAUAGCCACAGUUUUCUUCAUCUUGGACAGGAAUAUGUGGCUGGCUAUGUCGACUACUGAGCAUGAGGAGAUGAAGAAAGAACAAGGAUAUAAUAAUUUUAUUUGAGCAUAAAGGCAAUUAUAAAAGGAUGUAUUGUGCUUUGCACUAUGUUUUGUUAAACUUUUUUUUUAUUAUUGACUUAUUUUCUUAUUACUAAAUUUAAAUUUUUGCUGACCAUAUGUGCUAACCAUGCGCUAUUUGUUAGGCUAUAUGUAAAUUGUUGGGCCAUAUGAGCUCACCAUAUUGGAUGCUUGAACUUUUUUUAAGGAU